This 460-nucleotide ribosomal RNA is filed under the name uncultured bacterium. Its description in RNAcentral is "partial 16S ribosomal RNA". It matches the Rfam family "Bacterial small subunit ribosomal RNA", at positions 338 to 795 of the family's 1533-position model. The record is from RNAcentral.
CCUACGGGUGGCAGCAGUGAGGAAUAUUGGUCAAUGGGCGGAAGCCUGAACCAGCCAAGUAGCGUGCAGGAUGACGGCCCUACGGGUUGUAAACUGCUUUUAUACGGGAAUAACGCGCCUUACGUGUGGGGCUUUUCAUGUACCGUAUGAAUAAGCAUCGGCUAAUUCCGUGCCAGCAGCCGCGGUAAUACGGAAGGUCCGGGCGUUAUCCGGAUUUAUUGGGUUUAAAGGGAGCGUAGGCCGGAUGGUAAGUGCGAUGUGAAAUGUUCGGGCUCAAACCGUGCCGUGCGGUGCAAACUGGCGUGCUUGAGUCUGCGGAGGGCAGGCGGAAUUCGUGGUGUAGCGGUGAAAUGCUUAGAUAUGACGAAGAACCCCGAUUGCGAAGGCAGCUUGCUGGAGCGGAACUGACGCUGAGGCUCGAAAGCGCGGGUAUCGAACAGGAUGAGAUACCCGAGUAGUC